UGGGGAAUUUUGGACAAUGGGCGCAAGCCUGAUCCAGCCAUGCCGCGUGCGGGAAGAAGGCCUUCGGGUUGUAAACCGCUUUUGUCAGGGAAGAAAUCUUCUGAGUUAAUACCUCGGGAGGAUGACGGUACCUGAAGAAUAAGCACCGGCUAACUACGUGCCAGCAGCCGCGGUAAUACGUAGGGUGCAAGCGUUAAUCGGAAUUACUGGGCGUAAAGCGUGCGCAGGCGGUUUUGUAAGACAGAGGUGAAAUCCCCGGGCUCAACCUGGGAACUGCCUUUGUGACUGCAAGGCUUGAGUGCGGCAGAGGGGGAUGGAAUUCCGCGUGUAGCAGUGAAAUGCGUAGAUAUGCGGAGGAACACCGAUGGCGAAGGCAAUCCCCUGGGCCUGCACUGACGCUCAUGCACGAAAGCGUGGGGAGCAAACAGGAUUAGAUACCCUGGUAGUCCACGCCCUAAACGAUGUCAACUGGUUGUUGGGAAGGUUCCCUUCUCAGUAACGUAGCUAACGCGUG
RNAcentral lists this ribosomal RNA (514 nucleotides) under uncultured bacterium. RNAcentral describes it as "partial 16S ribosomal RNA". It matches the Rfam family "Bacterial small subunit ribosomal RNA", at positions 355 to 861 of the family's 1533-position model. The record is from RNAcentral.